This 638-nucleotide long non-coding RNA is filed under the name Olea europaea subsp. europaea. Lineage: Eukaryota; Viridiplantae; Streptophyta; Magnoliopsida; Lamiales; Oleaceae. The record is from RNAcentral.
CAUCAACCUCCAGCUUCUUGUACUGUUCGACCAAGGAUUUAGUUCGCUCAAUUCCCUGAGAGGCGUUGCGCUUUUUAGCGGCCAUCCUCGCCCUGCAAUCGUCCAUUUUGGCUUGAAGCUCCCUCAUCUGAGCAGCCAAAUUAACCAUCAGGGAGUCUUCAAUCAUGACUUCGGAAGAGAUUUCUUUCAACUCGUCCUUAGCCUUGUUGAUCUCCAAGCGCAGAGACUCUUUUUCAGCUACGGCUCGAAGAUAUUGAGUACGCUUGGCCUUUAGUUCAGCGUUCUUGGCCAGCAUAGUAAGGACCUCGGAGUGAAUGACCUUCAACGUCGCUUUAAACUCGGCAGAAAGAUUGAGCGACGGGAGCGUCAGUGCUUGCUCUAACUUCGCACUCAAGCGCUCAAGUUCAUCCUUGUGUCUGGCAGCACUAGCCCUUCCAAUGUCCAUGUCCAUGAAAGACACGUACUCAAAUACCAACUCCUUCAAGAACUUCAAGUCUUCUUCUGAAGAAGCAGCAGGACGAUCAGAUGGAACAGGGCGAGGCAUUUGGACCUGCCCCCAGGAAGCGAACAAAUCCUGGAUAGAACGCACAAUCCUGUCAACAUCCUGCAAAGAAGAUUGCCAACAUUAGAAAUAUUCG